Molecule: small RNA, 845 nt
Filed under: Histoplasma ohiense
Lineage: Eukaryota; Fungi; Ascomycota; Eurotiomycetes; Onygenales; Ajellomycetaceae
Description: hypothetical lncRNA
Source: RNAcentral
UAUCCCUCGCUGCUAAGCUAUCCCUCACUACUAAGCUAUCCCUCGCUGCUAAGCUAUCCCUCGCUGCUAAGCUAUCCCUCGCUGCUAAGCUAUCGCCGCUGUCAACCAAUCUAUUGCUGCAAGCUAUCCCUCGCUGCUAAGCUAUCCCUCGCUGCUAAGCUAUCGCCGCUGCCAACCUAUCUAUUGCUGCAAGCUAUCCCUCGCUGCUAAGCUAUCGCCGCUGCCAACCUAUCUAUUGCUGCAAGCUAUCCCUCGCUGCUAAGCUAUCCCUCGCUGCUAAGCUAUCCCUCACUGCUAAGCUAUCCCUCGCUGCUAAGCUAUCCCUCACUACUAAGCUAUCUAUCACUGCUAAUCUAUCGCUGCUAAUCUAUCGCUGCUAAUCUAUCGCUGCCAACCUAUCUACCGCGGCGAAUCUAUCUAUUGCUGCCAACCAACCUACCACUGCCAACCUAUCUAUCGCUGCCAAUCUAUCGCUGCCAAUCUAUCGCUGCCAACCUAUCUACUGCAGUGAAUCUAUCUAUCACUAUCAUUACUAGUUCAAAAUAGAACUAGAGCAUAAAUACACUAAACUUCUUUUGAUAGAUAAUGAUUUUUGGUAAUGCUCAUAGCAUUAUAUCAUCUAUAUAGGGUAAAUCAUGGUCCCAUUUGGUCCCAUUUUAACAAAAUGGGACCAAAUGGGACCAGAAUCAGUAAUUUAUAAGAAGAACAUGACCUGGGACUAGAUUUAUAAUAUAAACAGUGUAAAGUGACUAAUUUAAUAAACACUAUAUGGGAUCAGGACUAAGAAAUUUGAUAAUGGAACUGGAGAAAUAUUUAGUCCCAGUUCCAUGCAUGGUCACACAGCC